GGGAAUUUUUGUCAAUGGGGGAAACCCUGAACAAGCAACGCCGCGUGAAGGACGAAGACCUUCGGGUUGUAAACUUCUGUCGGAGGGGACGAAAGCAUCAACGGUUAAUACCCGUGGGUGUUGACGGUACCCUACGAGGAAGCCCCGGCUAACUCCGUGCCAGCAGCCGCGGUAAUAAGGAGGGAGCUAGCGUUGUUCGGAAUUACUGGGCGUAAAGCGCACGUAGGCGGCGCCGCAAGUCAGGGGUGAAAUCCCGGGGCUCAACCCCGGAACUGCCCUUGAAACUGCAGUGCUAGAAUCCUGGAGAGGCGAGUGGAAUUCCGAGUGUAGAGGUGAAAUUCGUAGAUAUUCGGAAGAACACCAGUGGCGAAGGCGACUCGCUGGACAGGUAUUGACGCUGAGGUGCGAAAGCGUGGGGAGCAAA
This 424-nucleotide ribosomal RNA is filed under the name uncultured bacterium. RNAcentral's name for it is "bacterial SSU rRNA". It matches the Rfam family "Bacterial small subunit ribosomal RNA", at positions 357 to 772 of the family's 1533-position model. The record is from RNAcentral.